This 462-nucleotide ribosomal RNA is filed under the name uncultured bacterium. Its description in RNAcentral is "partial 16S ribosomal RNA". It matches the Rfam family "Bacterial small subunit ribosomal RNA", at positions 29 to 507 of the family's 1533-position model. The record is from RNAcentral.
AGUGAACGCUGGCGGCGUGCCUAAUACAUGCAAGUCGAACGGAGAUUAAGUAGCUUGCUCUUUAUUCUUAGUGGCGCACGGGUGAGUAAUAUAUAGCUAACUUGCCCAUUACUAAGGGACAACAGUUGGAAACGACUGCUAAUACCUUAUACUCCGUAUCUAUAUAAGUAGAUACGGGAAAGUUUUUCGGUAAUGGAUAGGGCUAUAUCGUAUCAGCUAGUUGGUAAGGUAAUGGCUUACCAAGGCUAUGACGCGUAACUGGUCUGAGAGGAUGAUCAGUCACACUGGAACUGAGACACGGUCCAGACUCCUACGGGAGGCAGCAGUAGGGAAUAUUGCUCAAUGGGGGAAACCCUGAAGCAGCAACGCCGCGUGGAGGAUGACACUUUUCGGAGCGUAAACUCCUUUUCUUGGGAAAGAAUUAUGACGGUACCCAAGGAAUAAGCACCGGCUAACUCCGUG